This 253-nucleotide ribosomal RNA is filed under the name uncultured bacterium. RNAcentral describes it as "partial 16S ribosomal RNA". It matches the Rfam family "Bacterial small subunit ribosomal RNA", at positions 524 to 776 of the family's 1533-position model. The record is from RNAcentral.
UACGUAGGGUGCAAGCGUUGUCCGGAAUUAUUGGGCGUAAAGAGCUCGUAGGCGGUUUGUCGCGUCUGCUGUGAAAACUCGGGGCUUAACCCUGGGCCUGCAGUGGGUACGGGCAGACUAGAGUGCGGUAGGGGAGACUGGAAUUCCUGGUGUAGCGGUGAAAUGCGCAGAUAUCAGGAGGAACACCGGUGGCGAAGGCGGGUCUCUGGGCAGUAACUGACGCUGAGGAGCGAAAGCGUGGGGAGCGAACAGA